UACAGAGGGGGCUAGCGUUAUUCGGAAUUAUUGGGCGUAAAGGGCGCGUAGGCGGCCAUGCGUGUCUUCCGUGAAAUCCCUCGGCUUAACUGAGGACGUGCGGAAGAAACUGCAAGGCUCGAGUCCGGGAGAGGGGGGUGGAAUUCCCGGUGUAGCGGUGAAAUGCGUAGAUAUUGGGAGGAACACCGGUGGCGAAGGCAGCCCCCUGGACCGUGACUGACGCUGAGGCGCGAAAGCGUGGGGAGCGAACAGG
This 253-nucleotide ribosomal RNA is filed under the name uncultured bacterium. Its description in RNAcentral is "partial 16S ribosomal RNA". It matches the Rfam family "Bacterial small subunit ribosomal RNA", at positions 524 to 776 of the family's 1533-position model. The record is from RNAcentral.